RNAcentral lists this long non-coding RNA (539 nucleotides) under Cavia porcellus (domestic guinea pig). RNAcentral's name for it is "lncRNA (ENSCPOG00000031310.1)". Lineage: Eukaryota; Metazoa; Chordata; Mammalia; Rodentia; Caviidae. The record is from RNAcentral.
UUAUAUUCUUUUGCUGUUCUUACUAUUCUCUUGUUUGUAGGGAACAUCUAUACUUGUGUGAGCUGUUCACUGAGAAUCUGUAAUCCACAGGACAGGCUGAGAGGUCAGCUAGGAAACAGCAGAAAACAGAAGACAAGACUGCAGUGAUAGAAAAAGAUGGAUAUCAAGCCAAAUGCAACAUCACUGCGUGCUGUCGGGCAACAGCAAAGGAUCCUGUGCACACAAAAAGAAAGUUGCACAAUAUGAAGGAAGCAGUAAAAAUGAAAUGAAGUAGAAGAGACAUGCAGAAAGAAAAAUGCUCUCGGAUGUGUCACAAUCAUCUUGAUUCUUUACCUGGAAAACCUGUAUUUUUUCCUUUGUAAUUAUCUAAUAUACUUUGUGUCAAAGAACAAGGACCUGAGUUCCACUUAAAGAAGAUGAAGUUAACAGAUACCUUUUUCGGGUUUUAUCAUGAAAUUAGAAAUGAAGAUUUUCAGUUUCUGGUAGUCAUGAACAGAGAGCCUCAGUAUGGAGAUCAAACUCAAAGACCCUCUACUUUG